GAAAACGUGCCCGAAAGAUAGGGCCCUCCUUGAUAGGGAGAUUUAUGGAAGUUCAAACCUUCUCGUUUUCU
RNAcentral lists this transfer RNA (71 nucleotides) under Limnonectes fujianensis (Fujian large-headed frog). RNAcentral's name for it is "tRNA-Ile". Lineage: Eukaryota; Metazoa; Chordata; Amphibia; Anura; Dicroglossidae. The record is from RNAcentral.